UGUCAUUCUUUCAGUUGUUGUGCAGAGAAAAGCAGCUUUAUAUUCAGCUAAAAUCAUCACAUUUACUGCAUUAAUUUUCAGUGUGUGUUCAUCCAUUAGAAGUCGGGGCAGAAGAUGCAGAUGUGCUGGUAAUGUUGGCGCACCAUAGCUCAAGCACCAAACACCCACUUUUCUUCACGACAUUGAAGGGCUCUUAUGAUGUCAGGAGGAUUCGAGAAGCUCUCUCUGAAAAACAGAGACGCUACCUGGUCUUUUGUCACGUUUUCACUGGGUGUGAUACAGUCUCUGCUAUCGCUGGCCAUGGGAAAACCACUCUAACAGGUUUUGUGCAGGGGACAUAGAUGAACUUAUGGACAUCUUCCUGGACAUACGCGCUACCAAGGAUGCAGUGAUUCAGGCUGGUACUGCGAUCUUCCACUACAUCUACCAUGGACCAGGUAGUAAUCUGGGAGAAGUUCGAUACAACAUCUUCUCACGUAAGGCAGCCGCUGGGCUGAUCAAACCGGAGACUCUACCUCCAACAGAGGGUGCAGCAGCACAGCAUUCACUCCGUGCCUACCAACAGACUCGGGACUGGUUCCUUCUACAGAGCAUGUCUCUGGACCCCACUGACUAUGGAUGGACAAUAAGUGUUCAUGGUUAUGAGCCACUUUUAACUCUAGACCCCAUGGCUCCUGAAGAGCUACUCCAAUUCACAAGCUGGAAUUGCCAUGGAGAUUGCAGUAGCCGGCGAUGCAGCUGCAAAAAGAAUAGCGUCAAGUACAUCUCAGCUUGUGGAGUCUGUCAAGGCAUUACCUGUAAGAAUGCUAUUCAUGAUGAUGGCAUUUUAUGAUGAAUACUCAGAGGCAGACAUUAACUUAUAAAGCAUUCUACUAGGGGGAUCACUGUUUGCUCUGACUAAUGUGAAAAUAAUUGUAAUAAAUGCUACUUUAUGUAAAUGCGAUAAGGGUGUGGAAGAUUUUCCACUAAGGAAUAGUUGUAGUGAAAAACAAAUGCUAUAAAUGAACUCAGGACCAUAAAAAACACUAGUUUGACCCCUCACAAGUUACUUAGGGCCAAAUUAAGCAUUUUCAAAUUUUCAAAAAUUGGUUAUUGGUAACCCGACUUUGUGCAGUUUUUUAUGAGGUUUCCCCCAGGACUUGAAUUUCAACUUUUUAGGACAAGUUAUUAGACACCUUUAGAAACCCAUUGGUGAAGAGAUUUAUUGGUAAAGAUUUAGUUCCCAGAUUUUCAGAUGCUUCCCUUACUAUAAUGAAAAACUCCUGAUAAAUACAAGGGCUUGUCCGGGAAGUGAUCUCGAGUCCUCUCACACCCUAAGCGAGAAUCGUACGACUAGACCAACUAG
Long non-coding RNA from Nerophis ophidion (straightnose pipefish), 1345 nucleotides. RefSeq lists it as uncharacterized. The record is from RefSeq and is a predicted model, not a curated record. The transcript has 3 exons. NCBI's taxonomy places the organism in Eukaryota, Metazoa, Chordata, Actinopteri, Syngnathiformes, Syngnathidae.